This 465-nucleotide ribosomal RNA is filed under the name uncultured bacterium. RNAcentral describes it as "partial 16S ribosomal RNA". It matches the Rfam family "Bacterial small subunit ribosomal RNA", at positions 28 to 507 of the family's 1533-position model. The record is from RNAcentral.
GACGAACGCUGGCGGCGUGCUUAACACAUGCAAGUCGUACGGUAAGGCCCUUUCGGGGGUACACGAGUGGCGAACGGGUGAGUAACACGUGAGUAACCUGCCCACAACUUUGGGAUAACGCUAGGAAACUGGUGCUAAUACUGGAUAUGUGCUCCUGCUGCAUGGUGGGGGUUGGAAAGCUCCGGCGGUUGUGGAUGGACUCGCGGCCUAUCAGCUUGUUGGUGGGGUAGUGGCCUACCAAGGCGGCGACGGGUAGCCGGCCUGAGAGGGUGACCGGCCACAUUGGGACUGAGAUACGGCCCAGACUCCUACGGGAGGUAGCGGUGGGGAAUAUUGCACAAUGGGCGCAAGCCUGAUGCAGCAACGCCGCGUGCGGGAUGACGGCCUUCGGGUUGUAAACCGCUUUCAGCAGGGACGAAGCUUUUUGUGACGGUACCUGCAGAAGAAGCACCGGCUAACUACGUG